This is a long non-coding RNA of Zophobas morio, 310 nucleotides long. RefSeq lists it as uncharacterized. The transcript has 3 exons. The record is from RefSeq and is a predicted model, not a curated record. NCBI's taxonomy places the organism in Eukaryota, Metazoa, Arthropoda, Insecta, Coleoptera, Tenebrionidae.
UCUCAAUCAUCCGGUAGGACCAGGCCUGUUGCUCUAUAACAAUAAAAUUCUCGUGGCAAAUAUACCAUAACGGUGGAGCUAAAAUAGAGUGGAAUGCUUUUUUUUUUCAAAAUAUACUCGUUGAAUUACAUUAUGACCAGUAUAUUAAAAUUAUUAAAUUAUAACAGUUAAAAUUAAUGUUUGCUAAGAAUACUAUACCAGGUCUAGAUGGCCACCUAAUGAUGCCUUUAAAUCUUCGAUGGUUACCGGGGAAAGACGGGAGGAUUGCUUUUUAACGGCCUGUCGGAAGAAUUUAUUGAGAGAAUUUAAG